UGACAGCAAAGACGCGAAAGGCAAGGAGAA
RNAcentral lists this non-coding RNA (30 nucleotides) under Rattus norvegicus (Norway rat). The record is from RNAcentral. Lineage: Eukaryota; Metazoa; Chordata; Mammalia; Rodentia; Muridae.